Colius striatus (speckled mousebird) is the source of this 975-nucleotide long non-coding RNA. RefSeq lists it as uncharacterized. The record is from RefSeq and is a predicted model, not a curated record. The transcript is spliced from 3 exons. Lineage: Eukaryota; Metazoa; Chordata; Aves; Coliiformes; Coliidae.
CCACCUGUUAGGCGGCAGCGAGGAAGAGGAAGGCACCGGAGAGCGGGAAGGCACUAAGCCACCUGUUGGGGGGGUGGCGGGGAGUCAAGCUGCAAAUGCCAGGAAAGGUCUGGAGGUCCCACCUGGGGACGGCCGAGUUUCGCCCCCGAGAGCCGCCCAGGCGCACACCUGCCCGCUGCCGUGCCAAGCCGAGCCAGGCUACCGGCCAGGCAUCACGGGUGUUGUGCUUCCCAGCAUACACUAGCAUUCCUUCAAACAAACGUUCACUGUAGCAGAAAGUCCAAGAACAGGCUUACUCCCUUGAGGAUCAAGAAGAAAGCAACAGCGGAGAAAGGACCGAUAGCAGCAUGGAGAAUACGGAAAGGAGAUAAAGAGGAAAAUGAGGAGGUGGCGGUGAGCAGGAGGCAGCUCAGAAAAUUGCACAAGCUGUGGGGAGUUUUUUCGUCUAGACACUCUCACACGGCAAAGGGAAUGACUGCCAUCUGCAUCUCCCAUGAAAAAAAGGAAGGGAGAAAAGGGAUAGGGCUGAGACGAAAAAAGAAAUCCACCUGCGUGUCUCUCAGUUUGGCUGUGGUAUGGCUGAACCACACUGAAUGCCUGCUGUGGGAGGGGAGAGAAAGCCAACCGAGGUAUUGUUGUGUCUAAGGAGCUGCAACAGUAGGGAGCGUGUGAAUCCUCAUGCGAGGCUCUGUCCUACUGACACAGUGGGAAGAGGAGAGAGGGAACUAUUUUAGUCCUGUUGAGGCUGCUACAGCAUAAAAAUGGAAGUAAUUAAAGGCCUAUUCUAGUCUCACUUAAAUCUCUGAGUCUUCAGGCCAGAGUUAUUUUCAUUACAUUGCUUUAAUGGCAUUGCACUGAUGUUUAGACUGUGUUGGAUUGUUUAAUUUUUUAAUUUCUUAACCUGAAUUUAAGAAAUGAGCCAGCACUUGCUGUGGCAAUGCACUCACUUGGCUGAAAUUCCUCCUGCAAAAGGUU